UACGAAUGGGGCAAGCGUUGUUCGGAAUCACUGGGCUUAAAGCGUACGCAGGCGGCUCAGCAAGUCAGGAGUGAAAUCCCAGGGCUUAACCCUGGAAUUGCUUUUGAAACUGCUGAGCUAGAAUCCGAGAGAGGUUGGCGGAAUUCCGAGUGUAGAGGUGAAAUUCGCAGAUAUUCGGAGGAACACCAGUGGCGAAGGCGGCCAACUGGAUCGGUAUUGACGCUCAUGUACGAAAGCGUGGGGAUCAAACAGG
This 253-nucleotide ribosomal RNA is filed under the name uncultured bacterium. Its description in RNAcentral is "partial 16S ribosomal RNA". It matches the Rfam family "Bacterial small subunit ribosomal RNA", at positions 524 to 776 of the family's 1533-position model. The record is from RNAcentral.